GGUGAUGUAGCUCAUUGGUAGAACAAUUGCUUAGCAUGUGCAAGGCCCUGGGUUCAAUUCCCAGUACCACCA
This 72-nucleotide transfer RNA is filed under the name Ictidomys tridecemlineatus (thirteen-lined ground squirrel). Its description in RNAcentral is "Spermophilus tridecemlineatus (thirteen-lined ground squirrel) tRNA". It matches the Rfam family "tRNA". Rfam says of the family: Transfer RNA (tRNA) molecules are approximately 80 nucleotides in length. Their secondary structure includes four short double-helical elements and three loops (D, anti-codon, and T loops). Further hydrogen bonds mediate the characteristic L-shaped molecular structure. tRNAs have two regions of fundamental functional importance: the anti-codon, which is responsible for specific mRNA codon recognition, and the 3' end, to which the tRNAs corresponding amino acid is attached (by aminoacyl-tRNA synthetases). tRNAs cope with the degeneracy of the genetic code in two manners: having more than one tRNA (with a specific anti-codon) for a particular amino acid; and 'wobble' base-pairing, i.e. permitting non-standard base-pairing at the 3rd anti-codon position. Lineage: Eukaryota; Metazoa; Chordata; Mammalia; Rodentia; Sciuridae. The record is from Rfam by way of RNAcentral. RNAcentral also lists the same sequence under 1 other name.